GCGCCCGUAGCUCAACCGGAUAGAGCACCGGUUUUCUAAACCGGUUGUUGCAGGUUCGAGUCCUGCCGGGCGCGCCA
Molecule: transfer RNA, 77 nt
Filed under: Woeseiaceae bacterium
Lineage: Bacteria; Pseudomonadati; Pseudomonadota; Gammaproteobacteria; Woeseiales; Woeseiaceae
Description: tRNA-Arg
Rfam family: tRNA
About the family: Transfer RNA (tRNA) molecules are approximately 80 nucleotides in length.
Source: RNAcentral